Molecule: ribosomal RNA, 253 nt
Filed under: uncultured bacterium
Lineage: Bacteria
Description: partial 16S ribosomal RNA
Rfam family: Bacterial small subunit ribosomal RNA
Source: RNAcentral
UACGAAGGGGGCGAGCGUUGUUCGGAUUUACUGGGCGUAAAGGGCGCGUAGGCGGCCCUCCUUGUCGCGUGUGAAAGCCCCGGGCUCAACCUGGGAAUUGCAUUUGAGACUGCGUAGCUAGGGUGCGGAAGAGGGAAGCGGAAUUUCCGGUGUAGCGGUGAAAUGCGUAGAUAUCGGAAGGAACACCAGUGGCGAAAGCGGCUUCCUGGUCCAGCACCGACGUUCAGGCACGAAAGCGUGGGGAGCAAACAGG